AUUGAACGCUGGCGGCAGGCCUAACACAUGCAAGUCGAGCGGCAGCGGAAAGUAGCUUGCUACUUUGCAGGCGAGCGGCGGACGGGUGAGUAAUGUCUGGGAAACUGCCUGAUGGAGGGGGAUAACUACUGGAAACGGUAGCUAAUACCGCAUAACGUCGCAAGACCAAAGAGGGGGACCUUCGGGCCUCUUGCCAUCAGAUGUGCCCAGAUGGGAUUAGCUAGUAGGUGGGGUAACGGCUCACCUAGGCGACGAUCCCUAGCUGGUCUGAGAGGAUGACCAGCCACACUGGAACUGAGACACGGUCCAGACUCCUACGGGAGGCAGCAGUGGGGAAUAUUGCACAAUGGGCGCAAGCCUGAUGCAGCCAUGCCGCGUGUAUGAAGAAGGCCUUCGGGUUGUAAAGUACUUUCAGCGGGGAGGAAGGUGUUGAGGUUAAUAACCUCAGCAAUUGACGUUACCCGCAGAAGAAGCACCGGCUAACUCCGUG
Molecule: ribosomal RNA, 490 nt
Filed under: uncultured bacterium
Lineage: Bacteria
Description: partial 16S ribosomal RNA
Rfam family: Bacterial small subunit ribosomal RNA
Source: RNAcentral